This is a non-coding RNA of Phasianus colchicus (ring-necked pheasant), 3820 nucleotides long. The record is from RefSeq and is a predicted model, not a curated record. Lineage: Eukaryota; Metazoa; Chordata; Aves; Galliformes; Phasianidae.
GGGAGGCGCGGCUGCCCCGGCGGUACGGUGGUGCGGAACUGGGCUGAGGGAGCGGCCGGCAGAAGUUGGUGACAAAGGUGCCGUGCCCGUGCUCGCAGCCGGCGGGUUUCUUUGUGCGCUUAGCAGCGCGUCCCGACGCCGUCCUCGCUGAGCGCGAUCGGCGGGCUGUUCUGUCCUGUGUGCGUCGCUUAGAGAAUUUAUUCUAUUGAAGAGGAAAAGCCUUCCUAAUUUUGGCAGAGCUUUUCCGAACGUGGUGUUGAAAUGGCAAGCGAAAAACAAUUUCUUUUUUGGUAAUUGGUGAGUUUCUUAACAUUCCGGUCGGUGCAGCACAGAUACGUGCUCUAAAGAGCCCCUGUUCUUUCGUCUUCGCUGUGACCUCACCUGUCAUCACCGCUUCCUCCACCCAUGCGUAUGUGUAUCUUUAAGGCUCAGUAACAAAAAUGGUUUUUAUUAAAAGCCUUCCAAAACAAAGGUUAAAGAGGACAGAGGAAGAUGUAAAAGCACAGCAGGCAGUGCAUUCCUCCCUCGGUGAGAUGAUCCAGAUAUUUGGGACCAGCCCCUCGCACAGUGAAUUGAGCACCGUGACCCCAUGGUUCCCCCACUGGGUCCCUGCCAGGGCACCCUCAGACCGUGUGAGCAUUCCAGGGGCACAGCAGCACAGUCUUGCAUUGCAGGAAAGAUCCAAUUAAAACCAGGCUAACCCCAAAUAAAGCCUUAUUCUGUACUAUAGUAAUUAUCUGCGAUGACUGUAAAUUCUUUGUUUCCUGUGCACAGAAACCUGCUUUUAACCAGAAGCUGUCUUUGGGCUUUAGAACUAAAAGAACUAUUUUCUCGGUGUUUUUUUGUUUGUUUGUUUUUUGUUGUUGUUGUUUGUUUUGUUGUGUUUUUUUUUUUCUUUCACUCUAGGACAUGCAGACCUUUAGGAAAUGGAAUGCAUUCUGCUUUGUCAUCCUGCUGCUGGCUUCACUGUUUUGAGUGGCUUUGCGCUAUUUCUGCUGCUGCUUCCUGUCCUUGACCCAACGAUACAUUGUGAACUUCUCCCCAGUCGAUGGAUUCCUGGUAAAAUGCAGCAAAGGAUUUAAGGUUAUCAUCUGUCUCUCCCUAACUUCUGACAUCUCUUUAUAACAAGAAAGAGUCACAGCCAACUGUAACAGGAGGGCAACACAAUGAAUCCUGGUGCCAAAGAAGCUGUGGAUCCCUCCGUUACGCUCAGUUAUGCCUGGUUUAUUACUGGUGAAGGUAACGGGGUGCAGUAGCAGACAUCGGUGAAGGAAAAGCAGCUACAAUGCAAUGUUUGCAAAGCAAGGUAAUGAUUAACCACUAUGUUCGUUGUCUCAGCUCUUUCACCAUUUCAGUGGUAUUUUCUCUUGAUUUCUAUACUCCAUCAUUUUAUGUUUCUCAUUUUUUUUCAUCUACUUAUCUUCUUCUCCUUUCCUGGUGCUGCCUACCCACCAUGUUACUUAAAGUGCUUUCAUCACCAGAACUUGUUGUCAGAUCCCAGCUUGCUCCCCAGGGACUAGGGGAGGACCUCAAGCAUGGGAGAAGUAUGGACUGUUACAGUGUAAAUAAACGCAGAAAAAUGGUUUAAGAGGACAGAGUCAAGAAAAUGGCUAGCAAGUAGCUUGUGUUUCAGACUAGAUUUUUUUGUGCUAGUCAUGCAUUCCUCAAGAUGUAUCUGAAGUCUGGAGCAGAUCUGUCUGGCAAACCUACUGAUGUCUACACUGUCAAAAUACAAAAGACAACAUUUCAUUUCUCCAAAUUUCCCUUCACUUCUUUGCCUUAUUUUCUUUCUUUUCCUCCUACGCUGGGAUGACAUUUUUGAAGCAUACUUUAAAGUACAUAAUUUGAUCAAAUAAUCCAAGGGAACUCCCCAUAGACAUCCAUGAUUUAACACUAGAUCUAUUCUAAAGAAUGGCACGUCUGACAAUGGAAAUUGGUUUAACCCCAGUUAAUUUCUACAUAAAAAAAUGUAAUGUGUUUUUCCUAAGUUGGAAAUGGCUGUCAGAAAUACGCUAAAUAAGACCAAGAUGCAAUCAGGUGUGGUGCUGAUUACGCUGAGCAUCCCGGUCUGAGCAGGAGCAGAAGGGCUCAGCACUUCCUGAGGCAGCCCUCAUGCAUGUCCUCCUGUGCACAUUUGUAGGUGACUUGUAGGCGACUAUAAGGAGAGUGGGCAGGCAUUCACUGGUCAGCUGAUUUAUGGCUUGGAAUAGCUGAUACUUUGUGCUCUGAAAACAAAAAAGGGCAGCAGUUGAAUCUGAAUUUUUGUCCUCUAUUUCUCUUCUCCAUUUGGGUUUUCACUUUCCAGCUCUCAGCACAUGCACUGGGCACCAAGGCAGCUUUUUUCAUUGGCUUAAUAUUUUUCUCCUUGUCCUGACUCACAUCCCUGCAGGCUUUGAGCUCCCCUGCUCUGUACCCGUUUGUCACUCCUUUCAAAAGGAAGAUGGAAACUCUUGGUAUGGAUGCAAAACUCAGAGGUCUGUGCCAAAUAAGAGCAAGAACACAGCUGCAGAAGACUCAGCGCACUUCUCACAGACAAAAUGCAAUGAAGGAAAAGAAGGCACUUUAAGCUAAAUCAGAGAUCAUUGUAGAAUAUUUUUCCCAUUCAGCUUGCUCUAGAAGGAAUAUGUACAUGCGGCGGCAGCACUUGGAGUAUGAAGAGCUUCUUUGAAAGCAGAAGUAGUUGCCAGUGUUUGAGCUGUGGAUGGUGAGAAAAUCAGCUGUUCCUGCAGAGGUGCCCCCAGCAACAGCAGCUUCUGAGAAAUCCUGCUUUUGUGUCCUCAGUGAGAACACAGCCUGGAAUGACUGAGAGCAAGUUCUGUUUGCAGGAAGCAUUUCAGACCAACAUCCAUUGCCUGAGGAGGUUUCCAGAGGCCAAGCAGAGGCAAUCAGCUGUGUAAACAUUUCAAGGUACAGCAAGGAGCCAUAAAUGGAGCCUGUGCAGAUCCUUGCUGUACUGGUCUGUGAAGGCAUGCUGUUAUCUUUCAAACAGUGGUGCACAGUGGUGUUAGGUAGUGGUCAGGUCCUUCACCCUUGGUGUCUUACUGUGCUUGUUUUGCCUUCUAACUCCUCCUCUUAACACCUCGAGUCUAUUUCAGAUACUAUACUCAAUGCCUUCCUGUUGGCAAAGGGGAACAUACUGUAUAUAUGGACCUAUUAAUUUAUUGUUAGUCUAAGGUUUUCAACAGUCCAAUAGUAAAAAUUACCAAAUUCAUACAGGAAGAUGUCAUGAAAUAGAGUUGAAACUGUUAGACAAAAUUUCCCUGUUCUCUUGUGUUGUGCUUACUCCUCCAGUGUGCCUUUGGGUCUUAAGAUUGACAUUUUAGUAUUUCUCAAAAGGAAUGGGGGAGUAUGGUAAGUCAUCACCAGGACUAGCAUGAUAUUCAGGGGUUGGGGGGAUGGCUUUUUUCCUCAGUCUGGUGUAUUCUUGAAUUUUAUUUUAUAUGUUUUCUAACACUAGAAGCUCACCGUGACUGAAUGACUAUGAUCUGCAUCCUCUGUGUUUGCACUCUUGUUUCCAUGACUUACUGUAGAGCCGUAGGCAAUUUAAUCCACAAGGAAAAACCACUUGUUUGUAUUAUAAACUAAAGUUAAAUUAAAACAAAUCGAAUUGCGUGUACCUCACAGCUACAUGCAGCCAAAAGAAUUUAAAAUCUACUUAGGCCAAGACAGAAUUGCCGAGGCCCUGUACCAUCAUGUCAUCAUAAAACAGGGUUGGCCCUGCUUUCCCACCAGGUACUCAAUCUUUGGCUCAAGCCCUCACUUAGCAUUUCUGCUACAGAGGAUCAUAGAAUCGUAGAUUGGCCUGGGUUGAAAAGGACCA